Dermacentor silvarum is the source of this 335-nucleotide long non-coding RNA. RefSeq lists it as uncharacterized. The transcript is spliced from 3 exons. Lineage: Eukaryota; Metazoa; Arthropoda; Arachnida; Ixodida; Ixodidae. The record is from RefSeq and is a predicted model, not a curated record.
UCUGUUUUUCUUCAAGUACUGGCACUGACGAUACCUCACUGGGUGGAUGAAGCGGCCUAUGGCAAGUACCAGGACGCUUGGAAGCUCCUAAACCAAAAAGAAGGUACAAGGUACUUUCUGCUACAAUCAACGUUUCGCGAUAAACCACACUUUUGGGGACGUAACUUCAAGUGUGUCACCGCUCGACAUACUCCUCGGAACCCGAAGGAGAGAACAGCUCUGUCUAUCUUCCAGUAUGUGGGCGUUCACAACUUUACGUUCACAGUUUCAAUGGGAGUGAAGGCUGUUACCCAAUACGGUUACAAAACUCCGAAUGCACUUGAAUACGACUUGAU